GGUUGAUCCUGCCAGUAGUCAUAUGCUUGUCUCAAAGAUUAAGCCAUGCACGUCUAAGUACGAACUUUUGUAUAGUGAAACUGCGAAUGGCUCAUUACAUCGGUCAUAAUUUACUGGACGAGUUAUUCUUACUUGGAUAACUGUGCCAAUUGUAGAGCUAAUACAUGCGAGAAACCGCUCCUUCGGGAGAGGUGCUUUUAUUAGAUCAAACGCCAAUGGCACUCUGUGCCCGCUUCUGGCGAAUCGUGAUAACUCUAGCAUAUCGCAUGGCUUCACGCCGGCGAAACGUCCUUCAAGUGACUGCCUUAUCAGCUGUCGAUGGUAGUGUAUUGGACUACCAUGGCUUUAACGGGUAACGGGGAAUUGGGGUUCGAUUCCGGAGAGGGAGCCUGAGAAACGGCUACCACAUCUAAGGAAGGCAGCAGGCACGCAAAUUACCCAUUCCCGAUUCGGGGAGGUAGUGACGAAAAAUAACGAUACGUGGUACUCAUUCGAGGACCCGUAAUUGGAAUGAGUACAAUUUAAAUCCUUUAACGAGGAUCUAUUGGAGGGCAAGUCUGGUGCCAGCAGCCGCGGUAAUUCCAGCUCCAAUAGCGUAUAUUAAAGUUGUUGCAGUUAAAAAGCUCGUAGUUGGAUCUUGGAUACGGGUAUCGCGGUCUGAGCAGCGUCUCUGUACUGCGAUCGCCCUGUCUGUUUUUUCGGCAGCUCCUUUGUGCCCUUAACUGGGUGCAUCGGUGCACCGGAGCGUUUACUUUGAAAAAAUUAGAGUGUUCAAAGCAGACACGUUCGUCCGCAUAAUUUUGCAUGGAAUAAUGGAAUAGGAGUUGGACUCUGUUUCGUUGGUGUUAUGAGUCUAACUAAUGAUUGACAGGGACAGACGGGGGCAUCGGUACCUCGUAGGGAGAGGUGAAAUUCUUUGAUCUACGGGAGACCAACUACUGCGAAAGCAUUUGCCAAGAAUGUUUUCAUUAAUCAGGAACGAAAGUCGGAGGUUCGAAGGCGAUCAGAUACCGCCCUAGUUCCGACCAUAAACGAUGUCAACUAGCGAUCUGCCGGCGUUAAUUAUAAGACUCGGCAGGAAGCUUACGGGAAACCAAAGUCGGAUUCCGGGGAAAGUAUGGUUGCAAUAUCGAAAUUUAAAGGAAUUGACGGAAGGGCACCACCAGGAGUGGAGCCUGCGGCUUAAUUUGACUCAACACGGGAAACCUCACCAGGCCCAGACACGGGAAGGAUUGACAGAUUGAGAGCUCUUUCUUGAUUUCGUGGGUGGUGGUGCAUGGCCGUUCUUAGUUGGUGGAGCGAUUUGUCUGGUUAAUUCCGAUAACGAACGAGACUCAGUCCUACUAUUUAGA
Molecule: ribosomal RNA, 1352 nt
Filed under: Facetotecta sp.
Lineage: Eukaryota; Metazoa; Arthropoda; Thecostraca
Description: SSU rRNA
Rfam family: Eukaryotic small subunit ribosomal RNA
Source: RNAcentral